Bos indicus x Bos taurus (hybrid cattle) is the source of this 1208-nucleotide long non-coding RNA. The record is from Ensembl. Lineage: Eukaryota; Metazoa; Chordata; Mammalia; Artiodactyla; Bovidae.
GUGUGGUCAGGGGUUGGUGCUCGGGGAAAGGCCACCUGGGGUCUGCACAAGUCUUCUCCCCCCAGCCCUCACCCCUACUCCCUAGCCCCGGCUCCCUCCCCACCAAGGUUUCCGGAGCCGCCACCCACAGAGCAGCCUCAGGGCUGGGGCUGAGUCACAGGCUGUGGUACACGCCAGGGGGGCGAGGGUGGCAGAUGGCUUGACGUGGGUGAGAGUGGGGAGGGAAGGGCCUGUGGGAGGGGGCAGUGACCCUGGGCCCAGUAGGGAGGGAUUCGAGGAAGUGACCUAGGAGGUGGGCCGGGUUCUAUGUCGAGCCCCCCCAACCCCCUGCUCUUCCUUUCUCGGUUUCCGGGGAUGCCAUUCCUGUAGGGGCAGCCAGCCGUAGCCAGGUUGGGGUAGAGAGUGACCCUGAGGGGGCCUGAGGCCCAGGGCUUCCGCACAGCCUGCCUGGCCCCGCUGGUCCGGCCGUGGGAGGCAGAGCCUGGCUGUGUUUACCCAGGCCGGGCACUUCCGGAGCAGAUGGGCGCCUGUCAGCGCUGCCAGCCAGGAACUGGGCUGACAUCCUCUCAAUGCCAAGUGGCAGAGUUUUGGAGGCCUUUGGGACAGAGGGAAGACUUUGGACUCCCACUCAGGAUAAAGGUACAAAUGCACACACCUGCCUUCCAAUACCCAUCCUCCUUUUCUUGGGUUCCAGGGAAGGCUUUCUGGGAGCCAAAGAAUGCCUGCCCUGGGGUCGAAGGAGGUCGCAGCUGCUUGGCAUCCCAGCGCUUGGGAGCUUAGGGGUUGCCACUCAGGUCAACGAUCUGGGGAGAGUUUCCUCAGUUCAGACUGUUGUCAGUGUGUGCAUGGUCGGUAGGGUAGGCAUGACUGGGGUAGGGGUGUGGAGGGCCCAAGAAAAAGAUGCUUUCAUGUGGUGUGAACAUGUUUUUUUAUGUGUUUGGUUUUUUGUUUUUUUCACUUGCUUCAAUAGCCACCACACCAGAGACAUCGUUGAGAGGAGACCCAGAGCCUGAGUUCUCCAAGGACAAACCCUGAGCAGAUAACAGUGGCUUCUUCUGGAGAGGGCUCUAGCACUGGGGGCCUCAGGGGAGGAUUUUCCUUGUUGCUCCCUGUAUUUUGGUAUGAUUUGACCUUUUCUGAUGAGAAUGUACCUAAAUAUUAAUUUUGUAUGAAAUAAAAGUUUUUCAAAGAAAGGCUCUGGUAUUCUG